Molecule: ribosomal RNA, 787 nt
Filed under: Escherichia coli
Lineage: Bacteria; Pseudomonadati; Pseudomonadota; Gammaproteobacteria; Enterobacterales; Enterobacteriaceae
Description: partial 23S ribosomal RNA
Rfam family: Bacterial large subunit ribosomal RNA
Source: RNAcentral
AAGGCUAAAUACUCCUGACUGACCGAUAGUGAACCAGUACCGUGAGGGAAAGGCGAAAAGAACCCCGGCGAGGGGAGUGAAAAAGAACCUGAAACCGUGUACGUACAAGCAGUGGGAGCCUCUUAAUGGGGUGACUGCGUACCUUUUGUAUAAUGGGUCAGCGACUUAUAUUCUGUAGCAAGGUUAACCGAAUAGGGGAGCCGAAGGGAAACCGAGUCUUAACUGGGCGUUAAGUUGCAGGGUAUAGACCCGAAACCCGGUGAUCUAGCCAUGGGCAGGUUGAAGGUUGGGUAACACUAACUGGAGGACCGAACCGACUAAUGUUGAAAAAUUAGCGGAUGACUUGUGGCUGGGGGUGAAAGGCCAAUCAAACCGGGAGAUAGCUGGUUCUCCCCGAAAGCUAUUUAGGUAGCGCCUCGUGAAUUCAUCUCCGGGGGUAGAGCACUGUUUCGGCAAGGGGGUCAUCCCGACUUACCAACCCGAUGCAAACUGCGAAUACCGGAGAAUGUUAUCACGGGAGACACACGGCGGGUGCUAACGUCCGUCGUGAAGAGGGAAACAACCCAGACCGCCAGCUAAGGUCCCAAAGUCAUGGUUAAGUGGGAAACGAUGUGGGAAGGCCCAGACAGCCAGGAUGUUGGCUUAGAAGCAGCCAUCAUUUAAAGAAAGCGUAAUAGCUCACUGGUCGAGUCGGCCUGCGCGGAAGAUGUAACGGGGCUAAACCAUGCACCGAAGCUGCGGCAGCGACACUAUGUGUUGUUGGGUAGGGGAGCGUUCUGUAAGCCUG